This 589-nucleotide ribosomal RNA is filed under the name uncultured Bacillus sp. Its description in RNAcentral is "bacterial SSU rRNA". It matches the Rfam family "Bacterial small subunit ribosomal RNA", at positions 338 to 918 of the family's 1533-position model. Lineage: Bacteria; Bacillati; Bacillota; Bacilli; Caryophanales; Bacillaceae. The record is from RNAcentral.
CCUACGGGAGGCAGCAGUAGGGAAUCUUCCGCAAUGGACGAAAGUCUGACGGAGCAACGCCGCGUGAGUGAUGAAGGCUUUCGGGUCGUAAAACUCUGUUGUUAGGGAAGAACAAGUACGAGAGUAACUGCUCGUACCUUGACGGUACCUAACCAGAAAGCCACGGCUAACUACGUGCCGGCAGCCGCGGUAAUACGUAGGUGGCAAGCGUUAUCCGGAAUUAUUGGGCGUAAAGCGCGCGCAGGCGGUUUCUUAAGUCUGAUGUGAAAGCCCACGGCUCAACCGUGGAGGGUCAUUGGAAACUGGGGAACUUGAGUGCAGAAGAGAAAAGCGGAAUUCCACGUGUAGCGGUGAAAUGCGUAGAGAUGUGGAGGAACACCAGUGGCGAAGGCGGCUUUUUGGUCUGUAACUGACGCUGAGGCGCGAAAGCGUGGGGAGCAAACAGGAUUAGAUACCCUGGUAGUCCACGCCGUAAACGAUGAGUGCUAAGUGUUAGAGGGUUUCCGCCCUUUAGUGCUGCAGCUAACGCAUUAAGCACUCCGCCUGGGGAGUACGGUCGCAAGACUGAAACUCAAAUGAAUUGACGGGG